RNAcentral lists this ribosomal RNA (441 nucleotides) under uncultured bacterium. Its description in RNAcentral is "partial 16S ribosomal RNA". It matches the Rfam family "Bacterial small subunit ribosomal RNA", at positions 338 to 795 of the family's 1533-position model. The record is from RNAcentral.
CCUACGGGAGGCUGCAGUGGGGAAUAUUGCACAAUGGGGGAAACCCUGAUGCAGCGACGCCGCGUGAGUGAAGAAGUAUUUCGGUAUGUAAAGCUCUAUCAGCAGGGAAGAAGCAAGACGGUACCUGACUAAGAAGCCCCGGCUAACUACGUGCCAGCAGCCGCGGGAAUACGUAGGGGGCAAGCGUUAUCCGGAUUUACUGGGUGGAAAGGGAGCGUAGACGGUAUGGCAAGUCUGAAGUGAAAGCCCAGGGCUUAACCCUGGGAAUGCUUUGGAAACUGUUAGACUAGAGUGCUGGAGAGGUAAGUGGAAUUCCUAGUGUAGCGGUGAAAUGCGUAGAUAUUAGGAGGAACACCAGUGGCGAAGGCGGCUUACUGGACAGUAACUGACGUUGAGGCUCGAAAGCGUGGGGAGCAAACAGGAUUAGAUACCCUUGUAGUC